CUAAUACAUGCAAGUCGAGCGAACGGACGAGAAGCUUGCUUCUCUGAUGUUAGCGGCGGACGGGUGAGUAACACGUGGAUAACCUACCUAUGAGACUGGGAUAACUUCGGGAAACCGGAGCUAAUACCGGAUAAUAUUUUGAACCGCAUGGUUCAAAAGUGAAAGACGGUCUUGCUGUCACUUAUAGAUGGAUCCGCGCUGCAUUAGCUAGUUGGUAAGGUAACGGCUUACCAAGGCAACGAUGCAUAGCCGACCUGAGAGGGUGAUCGGCCACACUGGAACUGAGACACGGUCCAGACUCCUACGGGAGGCAGCAGUAGGGAAUCUUCCGCAAUGGGCGAAAGCCUGACGGAGCAACGCCGCGUGAGUGAUGAAGGUCUUCGGAUCGUAAAACUCUGUUAUUAGGGAAGAACAUAUGUGUAAGUAACUGUGCACAUCUUGACGGUACCUAAUCAGAAAGCCACGGCUAACUACGUGCCAGCAGCCGCGGUAAUACGUAGGUGGCAAGCGUUAUCCGGAAUUAUUGGGCGUAAAGCGCGCGUAGGCGGUUUUUUAAGUCUGAUGUGAAAGCCCACGGCUCAACCGUGGAGGGUCAUUGGAAACUGGAAAACUUGAGUGCAGAAGAGGAAAGUGGAAUUCCAUGUGUAGCGGUGAAAUGCGCAGAGAUAUGGAGGAACACCAGUGGCGAAGGCGACUUUCUGGUCUGUA
Molecule: ribosomal RNA, 708 nt
Filed under: uncultured Staphylococcus sp.
Lineage: Bacteria; Bacillati; Bacillota; Bacilli; Caryophanales; Staphylococcaceae
Description: bacterial SSU rRNA
Rfam family: Bacterial small subunit ribosomal RNA
Source: RNAcentral